This 284-nucleotide unclassified non-coding RNA is filed under the name plant metagenome. RNAcentral describes it as "partial contains small subunit ribosomal RNA, internal transcribed spacer 1, and 5.8S ribosomal RNA". The stretch from base 1 to 53 matches the Rfam family "Eukaryotic small subunit ribosomal RNA", at positions 1779 to 1831 of the family's 1831-position model. The record is from RNAcentral.
GGAAUAAAAGUCGUAACAAGGUUUCCGUAGGUGAACCUGCGGAAGGAUUAUUAUUGUAUAACCGAGGUGCGAGGGCUGUCGCUGACCCGAAAGGUCGUGCACGCCCGAGUGCCCUCACACACAUCCAUCUCACCCCUAUGUGCACCACCGCGUGGGUCCCCCUUUGGCUUGUUCGGAGGGGGGCUUACGUUUUCACACAAACUUUGUAUGCAGUGUAGAAUGUAUUUUUUGUUUUUGCGAUCACGCAAUCAAUACAACUUUCAACAACGGAUCUCUUGGCUCUC